CAGUUGUGAAAGUUUGCGGCUCAACCGUAAAAUUGCAGUUGAUACUGGGUGUCUUGAGUACAGUAGAGGCAGGCGGAAUUCGUGGUGUAGCGGUGAAAUGCUUAGAUAUCACGAAGAACUCCGAUUGCGAAGGCAGCCUGCUGGACUGUAACUGACGCUGAUGCUCGAAAGUGUGGGUAUCAAACAGGAUUAGAUACCCUGGUAGUCCACACAGUAAACGAUGAAUACUCGCUGUUUGCGAUAUACAGUAAGCGGCCAAGCGAAAGCGUUAAGUAUUCCACCUGGGGAGUACGCCGGCAACGGUGAAACUCAAAGGAAUUGACGGGGGCCCGCACAAGCGGAGGAACAUGUGGUUUAAUUCGAUGAUACGCGAGGAACCUUACCCGGGCUUGAAUUGCAACUGAAUGAUGUGGAGACAUGUCAGCCGCAAGGCAGUUGUGAAGGUGCUGCAUGGUUGUCGUCAGCUCGUGCCGUGAGGUGUCGGCUUAAGUGCCAUAACGAGCGCAACCCUUAUCGAUAGUUACCAUCAGGUGAUGCUGGGGACUCUGUCGAGACUGCCGUCGUAAGAUGUGAGGAAGGUGGGGAUGACGUCAAAUCAGCACGGCCCUUACGUCCGGGGCUACACACGUGUUACAAUGGGGGGUACAGAAGGCAGCUACACGGCGACGUGAUGCUAAUCCCGAAAGCCUCUCUCAGUUCGGAUUGGAGUCUGCAACCCGACUCCAUGAAGCUGGAUUCGCUAGUAAUCGCGCAUCAGCCACGGCGCGGUGAAUACGUUCCCGGGCCUUGUACACACCGCCCGUCAAGCCAUGAAAGCCGGGGGUACCUGAAGUGCGUAACCGCAAGGAGCGCCCUAGGGUAA
Molecule: ribosomal RNA, 862 nt
Filed under: uncultured organism
Description: SSU rRNA
Rfam family: Bacterial small subunit ribosomal RNA
Source: RNAcentral